AUUGAACGCUGGCGGCAGGCCUAACACAUGCAAGUCGAGCGAGCGGCGGACGGGUGAGGAAUGUAUGGGGACUGCCCGUUAGAGGGGGAUAACUACUGGAAACGGUAGCUAAAACCGCAUACGAUCGGAUAACCCAUAUGGGAUUAGCUAGUAGGUGAGGUAAUGGCCCACCUAGGCGACGAUCCCUAGCUGGUCUGAGAGGAUGAUCAGCCACACUGGGACUGAGACACGGCCCCGACUCCUACGGAUGCAGCAGUGGGGAAUAUUGCACAAUGGGCGCAAGCCUGAUGCAUCCAUGCCGCGUGUAUGAAGAAGGCCCUAGGGUUUUAAAGUACUUUCAGUCGGGAGGCGUGACCGACAGAAGAAGCCCCGGCUAACUCCGUGCCAGCCGCCGCGGUAAUAC
RNAcentral lists this ribosomal RNA (403 nucleotides) under uncultured bacterium. RNAcentral's name for it is "partial 16S ribosomal RNA". It matches the Rfam family "Bacterial small subunit ribosomal RNA", at positions 30 to 526 of the family's 1533-position model. The record is from RNAcentral.